This 1288-nucleotide long non-coding RNA is filed under the name Panax ginseng (ginseng). Its description in RNAcentral is "long non-coding RNA (PGIN_LNC011247)". Lineage: Eukaryota; Viridiplantae; Streptophyta; Magnoliopsida; Apiales; Araliaceae. The record is from RNAcentral.
AAAGAUGUGAAAUGUCAUCAACAAUAAUCUUCUUUUUAACAUCUUGGAAACAAUUAAACUCCAAGAAACUAUAAAAAAUUGAAUAAUAGAAGAAGAAAAUAUUACGGGAAUGAGAAUAAGCUUCCAAAUAAAAUAAAUUACAAUUAGUAACUAAUUGUUUGUGGAAGUUCUCGACCAUUAUUAUUACCAAAUGGACACUCACCGCUCAAUAGACCUGGCAAGUGAGGCCCAGUCCCGCGGGCCGGACCGGCACGUCCGUAGAAAUAUGGGUCAUGGAUCGCAAUAUUUCAGUCCAAAAAAAUGCAGGCAAUUUUAGCCCGGCCCGUGGCCCCUGACUUAUUUUUUUUAAAAUAAAAUGUUGUUACUUGUGGGUUAUAAGGUUUGAACAUAAGACUUAUAAGUAAAUAAAUAAAAAUUCAAACCAACUAAGCUACAACAACUGUUUGUUUUUAAUGCAAUCUUCAAUAUAUUGUUUCUUUACUUUUGUUCAAAUUUUAUUAUUCUUAAAAAGUAAAACCUAAAUUGUGCCUAAUUUAUAAUAUUUAUGAGCAUUACCAUUUUUUAAAAAAAUUUAAUUAAUUGAGAUAUGUAGUUAAUAAAGGCAAGUGUAUAGUAGUAAAGUAAUUAUAAAAUUUUGCAAAAAAAAAAAAUAAAGUUACCGGGUCAAUACCUUAAAGUCAAGUAUAUGCUAUACCUUAAAGUCUCUUUCUAAAUUAGACCAGUGGGGAGGAGAGAGAGUUUAGUAGGCAAUAAUCAAUCUUCUUCUUCCUUUAUUGAUUAAUAUAAUUAUUUGAGACUUAGAUUGGCUGAUUAAAACAAUUUUAAUCAGAAAAGCCAGCCUGUUACAGCCCUUAACUGGAAGAACACCAAUGCACAGAUUUUCUAAACAGGCCAGGCCCACAAACAAUAACAAUUAUACUGACCCGGUGACUAAUUAGGCAAACUCAACACACAAGUACAGGAACAUGAAGGACUCAACACACAAGUACAAUUAUUUGUGGACAGGUUUGUAAAGUAAUUAUAAGAUUUUGCAAAAAAAAAUAAAUAAUAAGGAAUAAGCCCACGGGUCGACCCGAUUCGGCCCAACUCGAGUCACGGGUCUCACAAUGUCAGCCCAUCAAAAUUUAGGCCAUUUUAACUGACCCUCUAUUAGCCCGGCCCGUUCUCGGUCCGGCCCGACCCACCUGUUUGCCAGGUCUACCGCUCAAGGUUUGGAAUUUCCUCGCCAACGGAAAAACAUUAACGAUCGACACGCUGACUCUCAUAGAUGAUAUCCCGAAAUAUGAAU